AGACGAAAUGAGAGACAGUGUUGGUGGAAGAAGAGAACUUAAGGCCAGAAGUUGUGUGUGUGUGUGUGUGUGUGUGUGUAUAAUUAUGCCUGAAUAUGUUUUAUUUAUUAUAGUCUAUGUGUGAUUUUGUAUUUGAAAGUAGAUGCUUGAUUCUACCACAAUUAAAAAAAGGAUAUGCUUGGAUUUGUCUGUAGUAUGUGGGUGUGGAGGAGUUCAUUUGAACACGGGCAUUUUUGUGUGUCCAGGACGUAUCAACAGCCUCCUUAGAGGUGUCAUAUGUGCAGGGAAUACUGAAGAGAGUGCAUUAGUCUACAUGUCUCUCUAUAUAUUUUUUCUUUUUGUGUGUGUCUGGUUUUCCUAGAUUUCUCUCUUGCAUGUUUGUGGGUAUGAGAGUCUGUUAGUAUUAAUAUGUGAAUGGGUGUGUGCUAUUUGUCUGGGGAGGAUGAUUUAGGCAAGGAUUUGAAAGUGUGCAUUUAGAAAUUGAGGGCAUCUCUGUGUUAUUAUGAGUGUAUGUGUGUUUGUGUGUGCAUUUUAGAGUGGUUGGUUAUCUGUGUGUAUUUGCAAGGAGAAGGGGAAUUCAGUGUGUUUCUGUGUUUGUGUGUUUGUUUGUGAAUGGUAUGUUUUGCAGAGGAGUGUACUUUUUAUGUUCGAAAGUUAGGCAAUCAUGUAAUUUAUCAUCCAAAUGGGGAUACAUUUGAGAAUGAAAUAUAUAUGUGUGUGAAAGGAUGUCUUUGAAUGUACUUUUAAAAAUGCAUUUAAUUUUGUGUGUGUUAUUGGUGUCAGGAAUUAAGAAAAAGAAGAGAAGUACAGGAGAUAUCAUUAAAUUAUAUAGUUCUCUCUUCGACUGUAGCCUUAUAACAGGGACAUUAAUAGAAUUAACAGGUAAGAACAGGUCAGCCCCAAAGAUGUGUGCGUGUGUGUGUGUGUGUGUGUGUGUGUGUUACCAGAUCAAUGAACUGAGAAAAGAGGUCAUACAUAUCUUGUGGCGACAAAAACCCAUAUGGUUAAAAAAAAAUCAGCACAGUGGAAUCUAAUUGUCUCCCUUGGAAUCUGGGAUGGCUGUCCUACUUAUUUGACCAACAGAAUUUGUCAGAAGGGACUUUCUGUAACUUCUGAAGCUGUCUCAUAAGAAGCCUUGCAGAUUCUGCUCAUGUCUCUUUCCUCUCUGGGAAACAAGUCGCGACUCAGGGAUAAGCCUGAGACACAUGGAGAGAACAUCCUGAUCAAUCUGGUCUUUGCUGCUACCCUGGUCAACAGCCUGAGCUGGAUACCUGGCUGACAAGUACCACCUUUUUCCUACACAGAUGACAACCCAGCCCAUGAGCACCAGAUGCCACUGCUACUCCUUCACUUGCUCAUUCUGCAAAAGUUUGUAGAUCUUCUGCAAGGAGAACGGCAUUGUUAACUACCUACAGGAAGUGGUGUUGAUUUCCAAGAAAGAUCUUGUUCUUCAAACUCUGUUACAGCGUCUUCUCUGGAGAAGUCAACAGUGAGAUGGGCUAAAUGAAGAAGGAGCAGCUUAUUGUCUUUGUUGGUUUUCUUUAUUUUCCUUCGAAGCAUCUGGGGGAAGAGGAAGACAAUGGAUGAGAUGGCGUAUGUUCUUUCCGCCCUGUGAAUGAAUCAGAUUUGAACUCCUAAGCAAAAUAGAAAAUGCAGAAAUGGUGCUCAGGCAAAACCUGAGAGACACCGGGCUCAAGCGACUCUCCUCUGAAGUCCAUCUGAUAAAGUCUGAAUUAUGGAUAAGUCCUUUCCCCCUCAAUAGUCUACUGCUUACUAAAGUGUAGCUCAAUGACUCUGUGGGCUUGGGUAAUCAGCAGGUAAGCAUAGCUAUGCCCAAUGAAGCAGGGGCUGUGAGAAGAAGCCUUGAAGAGUACCUAAAGUAGAAAAUAAGUGAACUUUCUCCUAAGCCCAUAGGAAACAUCACUAUCCUGCUGAAGGCAGGGCAGAGGGAACACAGCAGAGUAGGCUCAGAAUAACUGGGAUUUGGGCACUGAUAUUAAUGUCACCAUAUCUACACUUAUUGAUUGUUGAGAUUAUACAUUUGGCUUGAAACCACAGGAACUAAUAUACUCUAAAUAUAAGCUGAGAAAAAUUAAAAAUAACCACAACUACAACAGUAGAAAGAGAAAAUAUAUGAAUGCCAAGAAUCUAAUGUGUAAAUUAACUACAAGGGUUUAGAAGUUUUGGGCAUCUCCCUGGGGAUUAGCUGUGCUCAGUCUCCCCUCCAGGAAAUCAUUUACAACUCUAUGUCUGUUACCCCAAAAUGACUUAAAUGAAGUUUAGGAUAAGACAGAGACAAGUUCAGAACAAGACAUGGGUGAGGUUCAGAAGAAUGAAAUUGAAAUUAUAUGAAUUUCCAAUUGUUAGAGAUGCAUGAGUGAGAUACAGGUUUUCAAG
Molecule: long non-coding RNA, 2397 nt
Filed under: Homo sapiens (human)
Lineage: Eukaryota; Metazoa; Chordata; Mammalia; Primates; Hominidae
Description: novel transcript
Source: RNAcentral